CCUACGGGAGGCUGCAGUCGAGAAUCAUUCACAAUGGGGGAAACCCUGAUGGUGCGACGCCGCGUGGGGGAAUGAAGGUCUUCGGAUUGUAAACCCCUGUCAUGUGGGAGCAAAUUAAAAAGAUAGUACCACAAGAGGAAGAGACGGCUAACUCUGUGCCAGCAGCCGCGGUAAUACAGCGGUCUCAAGCGUUGUUCGGAAUCACUGGGCGUAAAGCGUGCGUAGGCUGUUUCGUAAGUCGUGUGUGAAAGGCGCGGGCUCAACCCGAGGACGGCACAGGAUAUGGGGAGACGAGAGUAAUGGAGAGGGAACCGGAAUUCUCGGUGUAGCAGUGAAAUGCGUAGAGAGCGAGAGGAACACUCGUGGCGAAGGCGGGUUCCUGGACAUUAACGGACGCUGAGGCACGAAGGCCAGGGGAGCGAAAGGGAUUAGAUACCCGGGUAGUC
This 446-nucleotide ribosomal RNA is filed under the name uncultured bacterium. Its description in RNAcentral is "partial 16S ribosomal RNA". It matches the Rfam family "Bacterial small subunit ribosomal RNA", at positions 338 to 795 of the family's 1533-position model. The record is from RNAcentral.